AUUGAACGCUGGCGGCAGGCCUAACACAUGCAAGUCGAACGAGUGGCGGACGGGUGAGUAAUGUCUGGGAAACUGCCUGAUGGGGGGGGAUAACUACUGGAAACGGUAGCAAAUACCGCAUACCAUCACAUUUACCCAGAUGGGAUUAGCUUGUGGGUGGGGUAAAGGCUAAACAAGACGACGGUCCCAAGCUGGUCUGAGGGGAUGACGAGCAACAGUGGAACUGAGACACGGUCCGAAUUCCUAGGGAGGGAAGAGGUGGGGAAUAUUGCACAAUGGGCGAAGUCCUACUGAGGAAAUGCGGGGUGUAGGAGAAAGGCCUUGGGGUUUUAAAGUACUUUCAGCGGGGAGGCGUUAACCGAAGAAGAAGCAACGGCUAACUCCGUGCCAGCAGCCGCGGUAAUUC
RNAcentral lists this ribosomal RNA (406 nucleotides) under uncultured bacterium. RNAcentral describes it as "partial 16S ribosomal RNA". It matches the Rfam family "Bacterial small subunit ribosomal RNA", at positions 29 to 526 of the family's 1533-position model. The record is from RNAcentral.